This 578-nucleotide ribosomal RNA is filed under the name Hanseniaspora opuntiae. Its description in RNAcentral is "partial large subunit ribosomal RNA". It matches the Rfam family "Eukaryotic large subunit ribosomal RNA", at positions 62 to 654 of the family's 3401-position model. The record is from RNAcentral. Lineage: Eukaryota; Fungi; Ascomycota; Saccharomycetes; Saccharomycodales; Saccharomycodaceae.
AAACCAACUGGGAUUACCUUAGUAACGGCGAGUGAAGCGGUAAAAGCUCAAAUUUGAAAUCUGGUACUUUCAGUGCCCGAGUUGUAAUUUGUAGAAUUUGUCUUUGAUUAGGUCCUUGUCUAUGUUCCUUGGAACAGGACGUCAUAGAGGGUGAGAAUCCCGUUUGGCGAGGAUACCUUUUCUCUGUAAGACUUUUUCGAAGAGUCGAGUUGUUUGGGAAUGCAGCUCAAAGUGGGUGGUAAAUUCCAUCUAAAGCUAAAUAUUGGCGAGAGACCGAUAGCGAACAAGUACAGUGAUGGAAAGAUGAAAAGAACUUUGAAAAGAGAGUGAAAAAGUACGUGAAAUUGUUGAAAGGGAAGGGCAUUUGAUCAGACAUGGUGUUUUUUGCAUGCACUCGCCUCUCGUGGGCUUGGGCCUCUCAAAAAUUUCACUGGGCCAACAUCAAUUCUGGCAGUAGGAUAAAUCAUUAAGAAUGUAGCUACCUCGGUAGUGUUAUAGCUUAUUGGAAUACUGCUAGCUGGGAUUGAGGACUGCGCUUCGGCAAGGAUGUUGGCAUAAUGGUUAAAUGCCGCCCGUCU